RNAcentral lists this RNase P RNA (213 nucleotides) under Actinomycetota bacterium. Its description in RNAcentral is "Actinobacteria bacterium partial RNase P RNA component class A". It matches the Rfam family "Bacterial RNase P class A", at positions 1 to 183 of the family's 367-position model. From Rfam's summary of the family: Ribonuclease P (RNase P) is a ubiquitous endoribonuclease, found in archaea, bacteria and eukarya as well as chloroplasts and mitochondria. Its best characterised activity is the generation of mature 5'-ends of tRNAs by cleaving the 5'-leader elements of precursor-tRNAs. The record is from RNAcentral. Lineage: Bacteria; Bacillati; Actinomycetota.
CGUGCAGGCCGGGUGAUCGCGGGUCUCUCUGUCGUUCCGACAGAGAUGGCUCGAGGAAAGUCCGGACACCGCAGGGCAGGACGCUGGAAAGUCCCUCGGGGCAAUCCAGGCGGCGAAAGCCGACGGAAAGUGGAACAGAAAGGAGACCGCCGGCCGAUUUGUGCACGAUUAGGCCGGUAAGGGUGAAACGGUGGGGUAAGAGCCCACCAGCGG